UGAGGAUAACCUGGGGAAACUCAGGCUAAUACUGAAUACGCCCCUUGGGGUAAAGGUUGCGCAAGCAUCCGCUUUUAGAUGAGCCUGCGUUAGAUUAGCUAGUUGGUGGGGUAAAGGCCUACCAAGGCGACGAUCUAUAGCUGUUCUGAGAGGAAGAUCAGCCACACUGGGACUGAGACACGGCCCAGACUCCUACGGGAGGCAGCAGUGGGGAAUCUUGGACAAUGGGGGCAACCCUGAUCCAGCGAUGCCGCGUGUGUGAAGGGGGCCUUAGGGUUGUAAAAAAACUUUAAUGAGGGAGGAGUAGGCAAG
This 312-nucleotide ribosomal RNA is filed under the name uncultured bacterium. RNAcentral describes it as "SSU rRNA". It matches the Rfam family "Bacterial small subunit ribosomal RNA", at positions 138 to 457 of the family's 1533-position model. The record is from RNAcentral.